GGAAGUCUUGCGGAAUUAGAUUUGCCAAUUAGACCGAACUGCCUAGUUGCAGAGGAAGAUGUAUGCAAGAGCCUCUUAAGAAAGAAUGAGACCCCUCAACCCCAAUGAAUUGCUCGUUUCAGGUUUUUAGUCUAUGAAACUUUGCAGACUUGGCCAUGUGUUUUAGUGCGACAGAUUAUGGGGAAGGAGUCGAAGCGCCCGGUGCUCGGAGCAGCAUCGACAGGGCUUUUGCUUAUCGUGGUUUCGCUCUGUAUCGCCCUUCUCGUAUUGAAGGACGCGCCGUUUCUAUCAUGGAGGAAUCAGAUUCCAAAUUGGAGGGGCAAUAGUGACGCAGGAGAGGUAGGUGAAGUCACCGAAGAGAGAGACGGUCUCAAGGAUCUACUGAGAAGACUAGUAAGAGGAGAAGAGAGAAACCAGCUGCAGGUUGGAGGGUUCACAUGCCACUUUGACCUACACACCGAAAUGUGUCUCUCAGCUAAACCCGUUUGGAUCUCCAAUGGCGGUUUGACUGUUCACGUACGGUCUGAUGGAUCUAAGUUCAAGCGUUUGGUUCGACCCUACGCGAGAAGAGAAGAUGAAGGGGCGAUGAAACUAGUCACUCCGGUCCAGGUACUUCAUGGGGACGCGGCUGAUUUACCAGCCUGCAAUUUCACGCACAGCAUCCCAGCAGUGAUCUUCUCGACGGGCGUUACAGGAAACGCCUUCCAUGAGUUCAGUGAGAUCAUCAUUCCCUUGUUCCUCACCUGCCGGCACUUCCGAUCGCAGCUGAAGUUCGUCACCACCGAUCGCAAUGCCUUGUGGAUUCAGAAAUACUCAAGGAUUUUGAACCGCUUGUCUGAUUACGAGGUUCUCAAUUUAGCCGAUGGGAGUGUUCACUGCUUUCCCGGGGCAGUUGUGGGACUUAGGUACCACGGCAAUUUAGCCCUGAACACCAGUGACAUCCCCGGAGGACACUCCAUGCGCGAAUUCAGGCAAUUCCUCAGAGAAUCUUACAAUUUGAAGACCAAGAACGUGCACGAGAUCGAAAAGCUACAGAAGCCGGUCCUCAUCCUCAUUUCCAGGACCAACUCGAGAAAAUUUCUGAACGAGGACGCCAUCGUGGAACUGGCGCAGGGGUUGGGUUUUCAAGUAGUGACGGCAGGGCCUAGUAUGAUGUCGAAUCUAGAGCUGUUUGCGAAGACGGUCGGUUCGUGCAGUGUUUUCAUCGGAGUCCACGGUGCGGGUCUUGCCAACGGGAUCUUUUUGCCGGACGGUGCAGUGGUAGUUCAGGUGGUUCUGCUAGGACUGGAGUGGGGUUCGUCCAACUAUUUUGAAAUUCCGGCUACCGCAAUGGAUGUGCGAUAUCUGGAGUAUAAGAUAGAGCCCCAGGAGAGCUCUCUCGCCGAAGUAUAUGGGCUCGAUCAUCCGGUGAUUGUCGACCCUUUAUCGGUCUUCGCCAUGGGGUACACAGCUGUUAGGGCUGUGUAUGUUGAUGGCCAGAACGUGACGAUCAACUUGGAUAGAUUUACGGGCACACUGGAGGAAGCAAGGAGACUGGUUGGACAUUCCACGACUUAGGGCUGAGUUCAUCGUCAUUACAUGACAGAAAAAAAAAAAAAGGAACCAUUUUCCGUAUUGGUUUAUUGCAAACAAGGUUGGUAAAUUUCAAAUAUUGUUGGGACAAAUGAAGUACCAAAUUGGAAGCACGUAACGAAUGGCAGAAAGAUUGAUUGCAUAGAUUUGACAAAUCUUCCAAGAAGACUACCCAAUUUAACUGAUAUUCUCUCCCCCCUUACACCUGCAAGGAUCUCAAAUGGUAGAUUGCGUGGCUGACCUUUCACAUACCAUCCAGCAAAUCUUGAAUCACAUGCUCAAUCCAGCCAUACACGAAGGAAUGAUGAAGCCACCAUGAAACUUGUCGCUCCAGUGCAGAAAUUUUGUGGACAAGUUAGUGAGUUACCGACUCCAGUGUUCGAGCGGUCAUCAUUAGAUCAGGUGGAUUCACAGGAGGUGCAUCCCACCAGCUCAAUCAAAUCCCCAUGCCCCUGUUACUCACAUAUAGACGCAAUCCCUUACAGCGUUGAGGACAACCUAAAAGAAUAAUCAUGCUCCUUUUGGAUGGUUCGAUAAUUACACUACAAACUUCCUUUUGUAUCAAAUCUUAUCUUUGAAAAUACAGUUAUGUAAAAGGCAAUGGACAAACA
This is an RNA transcript of Syzygium oleosum, 2183 nucleotides long. It is a transcript of the gene named alpha-1,3-arabinosyltransferase XAT3-like, with no coding region annotated. The record is from RefSeq and is a predicted model, not a curated record. The transcript has 4 exons. Lineage: Eukaryota; Viridiplantae; Streptophyta; Magnoliopsida; Myrtales; Myrtaceae.